This 463-nucleotide ribosomal RNA is filed under the name Streptococcus mitis. RNAcentral describes it as "bacterial SSU rRNA". It matches the Rfam family "Bacterial small subunit ribosomal RNA", at positions 28 to 475 of the family's 1533-position model. Lineage: Bacteria; Bacillati; Bacillota; Bacilli; Lactobacillales; Streptococcaceae. The record is from RNAcentral.
GACGAACGCUGGCGGCGUGCCUAAUACAUGCAAGUAGAACGCUGAAGGAGGAGCUUGCUUCUCUGGAUGAGUUGCGAACGGGUGAGUAACGCGUAGGUAACCUGCCUGGUAGCGGGGGAUAACUAUUGGAAACGAUAGCUAAUACCGCAUAAGAGUAGAUGUUGCAUGACAUUUACUUAAAAGGUGCAAUUGCAUCACUACCAGAUGGACCUGCGUUGUAUUAGCUAGUUGGUGGGGUAACGGCUCACCAAGGCGACGAUACAUAGCCGACCUGAGAGGGUGAUCGGCCACACUGGGACUGAGACACGGCCCAGACUCCUACGGGAGGCAGCAGUAGGGAAUCUUCGGCAAUGGACGGAAGUCUGACCGAGCAACGCCGCGUGAGUGAAGAAGGUUUUCGGAUCGUAAAGCUCUGUUGUAAGAGAAGAACGAGUGUGAGAGUGGAAAGUUCACACUGUGACGG